UACGUAGGGGGCUAGCGUUGUCCGGAAUCAUUGGGCGUAAAGAGCGUGUAGGCGGCCCGGUAAGUCCGCUGUGAAAGUCGGGGGCUCAACCCUCGAAUGCCGGUGGAUACUGUCGGGCUAGAGUGCGGAAGAGGCGAGUGGAAUUCAUGGUGUAGCAGUGAAAUGCGUAGAGAUCAUGAGGAACACCGGUGGCGAAGGCGGGUCUCUGGGCCGUAACUGACGCUGAGGAGCGAAAGCGUGGGGAGCGAACAGG
Molecule: ribosomal RNA, 253 nt
Filed under: uncultured bacterium
Lineage: Bacteria
Description: partial 16S ribosomal RNA
Rfam family: Bacterial small subunit ribosomal RNA
Source: RNAcentral